UUUCACAAACAUAUCACCCUGCAUACCAAGACCGGUUACCCACUGAAGCUAGCCAGGGCUGAGCCUGGUCAGUAUCUGGAUGGGAGACCACACGGGAAAACUAGUUUUGCUGUUGGAA
Danio rerio (zebrafish) is the source of this 118-nucleotide ribosomal RNA. Lineage: Eukaryota; Metazoa; Chordata; Actinopteri; Cypriniformes; Danionidae. The record is from Ensembl.